UUAAAAAGCUCGUAGUUGAAUUUCGGGGUUAGUAGGUUGGUCAUGCCUCUGGUAUGUACUGGUCUCACUGAUUCCUCCUUCCUGAUGAGCCGUAAUGCCAUUAAUUUGGUGUUGCGGGGAAUUUGGACUAUUACUUUGAAAAAAUUAGAGUGUUUAAAGCAAGCUAACGCUUGAAUACAUUAGCAUGGAAUAAUGAAAUAGGACGUUCGAUCCUAUUUUGUUGGUUUCUAGGAUUGACGUAAUGAUUAAUAGGGAUAGUUGGGGG
Molecule: ribosomal RNA, 265 nt
Filed under: uncultured Glomeromycotina
Lineage: Eukaryota; Fungi; Glomeromycota
Description: partial 18S ribosomal RNA
Rfam family: Eukaryotic small subunit ribosomal RNA
Source: RNAcentral